RNAcentral lists this long non-coding RNA (434 nucleotides) under Helianthus annuus (common sunflower). Lineage: Eukaryota; Viridiplantae; Streptophyta; Magnoliopsida; Asterales; Asteraceae. The record is from RNAcentral.
GGUCAUUUGAAGCAGCAACAGCAAACCCUAAUUUCACCCCCAAUUUUGCUUUUAUAUUUAAAGCUUUUUAUAUACAGACUCAAAGCUUAUAAAGUUGAUUCCGAUAAUAUCAACCAUCAGCAUAAAAGUUUCAUUACAUUGCUGGAUAACUUGGAUCAUGCAUACGAUUUUCACUGAAGCUGGGAUUGAAUGUGUGUGCUUAUUGCAAUGCUUCUACAGAACAGAUACCAACGCCAGAGGCUUUAUACCCGUAUUUCACUGGGAAAGGUGCUAGAAGAAUGGAUGUUGUGUGGGGAGAAACUGCUGGAGUAGAAGGUCAAAUAUUGUUUUGCUGAUUAAGUAUAGUUUUGUUCUUGCAAGCGUUAUAUGCGAAUAUGAUUGAAUUCAGAUGUGAUUGUUGUUGUUAGCUUCUGGUGAUCUAUAUUGUCUUUGUU